UUUCGAGUUACUCCGGAACACAGUGUUUAUUCUGUGUUUAGUCACGCCGCGUCAAAAAUGUUCCACAGGGUUACUUCCGGUUUAUCGUUGUUUGUUUACCAACAGUCGACACUUCGUGUAUUAGGCCUAGGCUUAAUUUUGUCGAUCAUCAUGAAAUUGAAAUACACAUUUAAUAGUUUGGGGUGUAUGCGGUACAUAUUUGUUUAUGAGCGUUUGAUAAGCUACUAUUGAUCUACGAAAUACAACGAAAGACUUCGUCAAGAACAGAAGAAGACGAUGCAUGUCGUGUAACUCACACAAGGACCAGCUGUCUAGUAACCGGAGGGGUAAAGGAAAAGAACGUAUUAGACUCACUGAAACCUGUCAAACAGGUAUAUGGGAACAGGAUCAUUUUCCAUGCCUUUCACUUGAGGUCUUCAGUUUCAUCAUUAAUCAUCUGAAUGUCGGUAUGCCAAACUCUCAUGAUGUCAUGCCAUUACUGGAUAUUCCUUAACACUGGUUUAUUUAAGCCACACUACCUAUAACAUUGCCAAAAUAUUAGACUGAAAAUUUUCAAAUACACAAGAUUUGAAGCAGCAAAAGAAAAGAAUUACAUAUGUAUAACACACAAAAAAAGAAGAAAUUAAUUCUCACCUGGCUGAUAUGAACUUUUUACUCCUUUUUAGCUCCCUUUCACUGCAUACCAGCCAAUAACUAGCAGUCAUUAUAUGCAGAUCAGCCAUUGUUAUCAACCUGUGUAUAUAUAUGUUGAAUGAAAUAUGAAUGAAAA
Long non-coding RNA from Ostrea edulis (European flat oyster), 769 nucleotides. RefSeq lists it as uncharacterized. The transcript has 2 exons. Lineage: Eukaryota; Metazoa; Mollusca; Bivalvia; Ostreida; Ostreidae. The record is from RefSeq and is a predicted model, not a curated record.